RNAcentral lists this long non-coding RNA (20839 nucleotides) under Zea mays. Its description in RNAcentral is "long non-coding RNA (ZMAY_LNC002538)". The record is from RNAcentral. Lineage: Eukaryota; Viridiplantae; Streptophyta; Magnoliopsida; Poales; Poaceae.
AGGGCCCCUCUGUCCCUAUAUACGGCGCCCCAUCGUGCCUCAAUCCAAGCACUGAGUCGCACCCCCGUCGUGGAAAGGGAACAACAUCGCCCCCAACACCGAGAGAGAUAGGGGGAUCUGCCGCACGAGCAUCCUGCAGGGAUCACCGCUCUGGGCUGGACAGAUGGUCAAGGCAAGUCUCCAGAGCACGUACGUUCGUGACCUCAUAUGGUGAGGUUGGUGGAUGGGAGCAUGGUUGUUUCUCACCGAAGUUUCCCUCCGCCAAGGAAAGCCCCCUGCCGCGGGCCGGCGUUGCUGCUUCACCACUGUCGGUGAGUCCUCCUUCCACGUGUUCGCCAUCAACUCCUCAGCACGUAGUCGUGAUAGAUUUGGAAUAGGAGCACCAGGGCGUGGAAUUAGUGUACGCCGGCGGGAGAACCGCCGUGGGGCUCGCUUCUGCCGCCGCGGUGGUGUCGUGGGAAGAAGUGAGGAUACCAGCCAUUGAUCCCUUCGCGGACGGAUGAGAUUAUAACAUAGUCUUCUGCUUCGAUCGAUUAGAUCCGGGGCGUUGAAUCGGGAACCGGUGGUUGAGAUUAGAACGUCUUCAUACCCUUUCACGUUUUUAAUCCAGACCACAUAUCUGCUAUCUGAUGGCCCAGGCGCGAUCGGAUAAGAUGGUCGUGUGAGUUUUAUUAGCCCCUAGGUUUUGUCUUAUUCGACCCGCGGUCUGGGUAUGGUCUGGGUAUGCAUAAAGAAUAGAACAAAUAGGUCCAAGUAUUUUCAAAACAGACCCUGUACUUUUUAGAAAUAGAACCCACCAUCCUACUAUUGAUUAAAUGGAUAAAAUAAGUCAAAGGAAAUUCAGAAAAAAACUUUAAUAAUGAUUUUCAAGAGUAAAAUUAAUAUAAGAAAUACCUAUACACUUAGAAAAUUCAUAACUUAUACAUUGUAACUCGGAUUUUAGUGGUUCUCUAACCUACGAUCUCAUAGCGACGUGUAGAAUAUUUUUACACAGUCUAUUCUCAUGUAUGAUGUAAUGUUAAUUUUACCUAUUCCUUGUCUAUCUAUGUGUAUUGGUACGAGUAGAACCGAGAUCAUGUAAAGCCCAAAAUAUAUAUAAGGGAAAAAUAAUAAAAUAAAUAAAUGAACAUGUUUAUAAGUGGGUGUUUUGGGAUUAUGGAACCUUUGGAGAUUAUUUGGUUUUCUUUUAUUUAUGUAUAUUUAAUUAGUGGAAUUAUAUUGGUCAAAUAACAAAGAAAUAAAUACAGAAUUAUGCUAAAGUUUUUGUAUUUUUGCAUUUGUAUUCAAAUUUAUGAGACAAGUUUAACUUUAAAAAAAAUGGAAAGAGAAACAAGAAAGAGAAUGAAAUAGAAAUGGAAAAAGAAUAGACAUUACAAAGAAAAAUAUAUAUAAAUAAUUAUAAUUCUUCAUGCUAGCACUUUAUUUAUGCACUUGAUUUCUAUGACAAAUUUGAAUUCAAAUAUCAGAUUUUGAAAACAAAACAAGAAAAUAGAAACAAAUAAAGAAAAAGAAAAAGAAAAGGAAAAGGAAAAGGAAAAGGAAAACAGACUUUGGCCUCAAACCCUAGCAUACGACCCAACUAACCAUCUCUUUUUUCCACCGUGCAGCCCACUUAACACACCCACGCGACCUAGCACGGACAGAUGGGCCCAGGUCACCAGCGCCUCAUCUGAUCCGCGCGCGGAGCUGCGUUCACCGGUGUGACGCUGGCGCGUGGGGCCAUCUCGUCGGUUCCAUCUCCUACCCUAUAUUGAACUCGUCCUGUCUAUUACGAAGGAGCCGGAGCGAACAUCGCACCAAGAUACAGUCUGAUACCUGUGAUGCUUGCCUAGGAUCCCUCACGGGGUAUAAAACUAAGCCAUUCUCACGCCCGACCCUCCCUCAAACCUAAACGUCGAGACUGCGUCGUCGGUGAUGGGUGCGAGCGAGAGAGAUUGGCGCCGCUUGGCGCCGAAGGGCUGGGUGACCCGCUGUCCGCCGCCGAUCUCUGCCCGUGCGCCCGCUGCCCGGGGGACUUCAUCAUGGGGUCAGGAAGAGUCACCAGAGCCAGUGGUACAUGCACGUGGGGUGUUGUAUGUGCGACAUCGACCGGCAACAGAGGAAUUGCUCGUUGUCGCUUGAUGUUGCCGUAAAUCCGCCUCACAACGUGGAACUUCUCCUGGUAAGCCGGUCUGGGCGUGUGGGCUAGUCAGGGGGCUUCACGGACUCUCAUUGUUGGAGUUCAGGGUCGUAUGGGUCGCGAUGGUGCUCUGUGGCCCCACCAAUUGCUCGCCGAUGCCGAGCAGGCGCCACCGGACCGCCGUGUGCAUGGAUAGCUCACCACUCCAUCUUUGCCUCAGGUAAAUAACAAUCCAAUGCUUUACCCAUGUCUGGAGCAUCGUGUAGAACCAUUCUGGGUUGUGGAUUGAGCACCAGGGCGCCGAGUAGGACGUCUGUGGCGAAAACCCCAUCGUGGGGGCCUACGCGCCGCCAUCCUGCAAUGGUGAGGGAGAAGAAAGCUUUCUAGCCGUUGAUUCCUUGAUGUGCGGCUAGGAUCAUAUCGCUCGCAUAUCCUUUCGUGUAUUCUACGAUAUCCGUUAAGAUCUGAUCAGAUGGUUGAGAGGGGUUGUUUGUAUGGAGCAUUGCAGGCCGUGCAUCUUAGAUCGUACUAUCCACGUCGCUUACCGAUUCAUAAAAUAUCCCGAUCUAAUCUGAACCCUUGAAUCGCGAUCGCACGGUCUGGUUGAUCGAUACCCUUUCGGUCGUAUCCUUUUUGCAUAAGAGCCCCUGAGAUUUCUGAGAAUCAACCCGCCGUCCUGAUGCAGUGGUAGAAAAUUUAAUCUAUGCCCCUAAAACUUGUAGUUUGGCCCCUGAUCUCUUAAAGAAUGGCACCCUCAGUCUAGGACUUAUAGAAUUUAGUAAAAUAAAUCCGAAAAUGGAAUUUUAGUAUAAAAAUAAGUCUGGAAACCUUAGAAACUCAUAACUCCUUUAUUUUAACUCCUUUUUGAUCCAUUCCAGUUGCAUUAAUCUCAUAUUAAUAUUGUUUAUCAUAUAGUAACCUUGUAUUACCAUGAAAUCUAUGAUUAAAAUCUUGUACCUUUGCUUUAUAGUAGACACUUAAACUUUCGGAAAAUCAUAACUUUAUGACCGUAACUCCGAAUUUAGUGGUUCUCGAACCGGUGAUCUCGUUACGUUGCGUAGAACAUUAUUAUGCAUUAUGUUCUUAUGUUUAGUGUGAUGUUAAUUUUUCUUAUACCAUGUUUGUUUGUAUUGCUACGAAUAGCUGCGAGGUUACGAGUCACUUGAAGACCAAGUUGGUACCUGAGAAUCUUGAGUCUAAGGCAAAUUGUGCCCUUGAUCACUUUUCUCCUUACCCAAUAAUGUUCGUGUUAAUCAGUGUGACAUGCUUAGGUUAAUUUGAUGGAACCUAAUAGGUUUCCCUAGAUUUGUUUAUCCCACACCUUGUUUACCACUGAACUUUUGGGUAGUUUUGCUAUUGCUCUACCUGGUUUUGGGAUUAAUUUUACAUUAUGAUCAUGUUCUAGUUAUGUUAUUGUUUUAAUUAUUGUUCAUGACAAGAUCAUUGUGUUAAUUGGAACAUGGAGCUUAACUUGAGAUAUCCGUGCUACCACAAGGGUGGAAUGGGACGCCCUCGGCUGACUAAUUAAAAAGGUAGUAGAGGACUACCUUACCCAAAAGGGGCAAUGGCGGUAGAGGAGCUGCGUAUAGGGAAGUUCUCGGGUCGAUCAUGCUACGAUGGCUUUUCGGACGAGAGAUGCCUAUACUGCCUUUCUCAAAAACCGUAGCGGGUUUUCUGAAGCUAGUGGAACUUUGUAAAGGUCUCAUAGUGGAUCCCUAGCCAUUCACCUCGGAAGUGUCUAAGGGCCUUACAAACCCUGGCUAGACGGGAUACACGACUUGUGGGUAAAGGGCGCAACCUCUGCAGAGUGUAAAACUGGUAUAUCAGUCGUGCUCACGGUUAAGAGCGACUUAGGACUCUCGCAUGAUUAAUUUAUGGAACUAAACUUAAUUUGUCAUAUGCAUUGCAUUGUGGGUGUUGUUAUUAAUUUUGAUCUCAUAAUUAUUUGGGUUGGUAUCUACUUUUGCUUAGUAACUGCUAAUAAAAUUUUGACCAACUCUAAAAGCAAUGCUCAGCUUUAACCAUAUCCUUUGGUAAGUCUUACACUUCAUAUGAGCCCCCACCUUUGGUGAGUUCAUGCACAUUAUUCCCCACAACAUGUUGAGCGAUGAACGCAUGAAUGAUGUCGCGAUGAUGUUCGUGAGAGGUCUAGGUCGUCGUCUCCCAGUCAACUAUGGCUGCUGGAUCGUUGUCUUCAUAUGAUAUAAUUAUUUAAUUAUUUUGUACACAAUUCCCAUAUAUAUUAAAGAUUUGACAUUUGUUUAUUUACCAUGAGUCAUCAUACAGUUGGUGAAGUUCACGCCCGGGUUUGGUGCCCCUAAAACCCGGGUGUGAUAGGUCAUGAAGUACCUAAAGACCAAAUUGGAGAAGUACCUGGAGUUGUACCAAAGGAUUGUUGUGCCCUUGAUCACUUUUCUUUACUUGAUAAUCUUCUCGAUAAUCAUUGUGACAUGCUCAGGUUAACUUGAUGGGACCUAAUAGGUUACCCUAGUAUUGUUCACCCUACACCUUGCAAACAAAUGAACUAUUGGGUAGUCUUGCUAUUGCCAUACCUGAUUUUAGAAUUAAUAUUAUAUCUUAAUUAUGAUCAUGCUCCAUUAUUAUUGUUGGUUUAACUAUUGUUCAUGAUAAGAUUAUCGUGUUAAUUGGAACAUGGAGUGACCAUGUCACACCUGGUUUUAGAAGGCAAACCGAAUGCGAACCAUGUACGCGCCAGGAUCAGCAAUUCACGCACACAACAGUUACAUAACCGGACAUCAUCACAUAGUGCUCGAAUAAUAACAUAAAAGAUAGUAAUAGUCGAUUACACCAUGAUGUCCGAGACAUCCACAUAGUCUUUAACAAUUAUCAAAGUGCGAAAACAAAACGUAGAUACACACGGCCUUCACAGGCAGCCGACUGGGGGUUUGCCGCUAACUCACGCCUAGAACUCAUCGUACUUUUGGAACUCCUGGAGGUCUUCCUCCAUGACUUCAUCUUCUCCUGAGUAGUGGUAGCAACGUGGACAACCUGUGGGUUUGGUGUGUAAAGCAAGGGUGAGUACACAUCAACAUACUCAGCAAUUGUCCUAUUUGGCUGUAGUGGACUAGCUUUAUGUGGGGUUAAGUCAAGCAGUUGCUUUUAGUUGGUCAGGUUAUUAUUACUAGUAGAGAGCUAGGUUCUAGCAUUAGCCCAAGUUGUUAACUCAAAAGUACCCUUUCCAGACGGAAAGAAUACUAGAAACCAUUACCAUAAGCAUAAUCAAAAUCAUCAUCCUUGUCAUCACCUGUAAACCAAACAUCUCUGAUCAAUGUAUCUCUAAUCAAUAGAGCUCCCUUGGCCGCUCAUAACCACGAGCACGGCUGAUAUAUCAGUUUCAUAACACUUUGCAGAGGUUGCGCACUUUACCCACAAGCCGUGAUUCCCUUUUGCCUUGGGCCGAUCAAACCCUUAAACACUACCAAGGUGAAUAGGCAGGGUUUCACUACAUAGCCUUUACAAAGAUUCCCUGAGGCUAUAGCUGCCCGUUAGGUUUUCUAAAUGCAUCGUACUCCUCCCCAAGGGGCAAUCCACCCUCGGUAGAGCGAGCCGCAUACACCGAGCCCCACUGACGGCACGACGGCGAAGCGAACUACACCCAGUUUCUCUAAUUAUUCAGCUAAGGACGUCCCAUACCACCCUCAUGGUUGCACUGUUUUCUCGGGUGGUCAUCCAACGAACCAGUCCUUACGGAGAGGCACUCGACUAACCACUCGAGUCCCCUUAAAUGCCACAGUAUCAUCAUCAUAAUCAAAAAGGAAAACAACGUAUCAUAAAUAAUCUCAUCAUGUUCAUUGAUUAAUGUGAAGCAGUAGCAUAAAGCUAAACCAAAAUAACCUAACCCAAAUAGGUAAACAAGUACAAGAUAAACAAAAGCUAGUCAAUCCUUAGGUAUAAAUUGUGUAAAUGCGGGGAGUGAAUUAUAAAAUGAGUAGGACAUAGGUGGGUCAAGGGACACUUGCCUUCACCAACCAGCUGUUGCUGAGGGUCUUCACCUGCAACUCCUUUGGACUCCGCCAACUGACCGUUAUCUAUACGAGUUCAAACAUACAUUCCACAAAUUAAAUAUAAAAGGAACAAUACACCAGACAGUAAAAUGCGAUAAAUAAGCAUAUGCUCGGUGCAGGGCUUGCACCUACGACUAAGCGAGAAAGAGAAAGCGACGGUCGAGGCUACGAUAGAAGAGCGAUCACGUUAAGCGAUUAUAGAUUAAAGUACUUGUCUAAACAUAAUUGUAUUAAUUUGACAAUCACGUUAUGCAUAGAAUAAAGUUAUGCUACGCGUUUAAUUAUUAUGAACAAUUCAAGGUAAAUUAAAAAGGAUUGUCACGCGGUGAAACGCACGACAGCACACACGAACUAAACCGAAAAUAAAAUGAGUCGUCACGCGGCGAAGCGCGACACAACACUUAGACUGAACUGAAAUAAAAUGAAUCGUCGUGCGACGAAGCGCGCAACGAAACACUUGAAUAAAUUAUGAAAAUAACGUCAAACGUCGCACGACGAAGCGCACGACAGCAUACGUCACUUAAACUGAAGUUAAAACAAAACGUCGUGCGUCGAAACAUGCGACGUCUCACAUUAAAUAACCUAAACUUAAAUUGAAUCAUCGCGCGACGAAGCACGCGACAGCACAUUAAUAAAUCCAUAUUUUAACUAAAUCGUCGCGCGACGAAGCGCGCGUCGUAGCACGUUAAUUAAACUAAAUUUAAAAUUUCUUAAACUGAAAUUUAAACGUCGCGCGCUAGGGCUGCACGCGCGGGAACGCGCUGCGCGCGCGGCGGGGCAAGGGCGGGGGCAGGGGGCACCCCACCGUGCCAAGGGGCAGGGACGGGGGCCACGCGCCACCGCACCGAGGGGAGGGGCGGGGGUCGCGCUGCCGCGCUGAGGCGAGGGGCGGGGGGCCACGUCGCUGCGCCGAGGGGAGGGGUGGGGCCGCACCACCACGCCAAGGGGAGGGGCGGAGGGCCGCACGUCGCACCGAGGGAUCGGGGUGGGGCCGCAGGGGCUGCGCGACGAAGGGCAGGGACGGGGACGCCGCGCACACGGGGGGAAGGGAAAGGAAGGGAGGGAGAGAGAAGGAGAGAGGGAGAGGAGAGAGGGGAGGUCACCUUGGGACCCAAAAACCGGUGAUAACCGUCCACCGGAUCACCUAGGGCAAAGAGGUGGGAGAGAAGUGGAAGAGAGGGAGAGGGAGUUGCUACGCGGGAAAACCAAAUGAGUGAAAGGGAGAGGGGGGUGCGCAUGGGGGGUGUGGGGCGCCAGGGGCCGGGCCAGGCUGGGCUGGGUCGCGGGACGGGACGGAAGCCCACAACGCACACGACCACUGAUCGGAAUCCAAUACGAAUCGAAAUUCCAAACGAGACGAGAUGGACGUGCGAUUAAACAUAACAUCAGACAAUAGAAAAAUGCUCUGGCAUGAUGCAACACCCAUGUCAACUUAGGUUUUUGUUUACACGCGAUACGGGCACCCGUCGUUAUACUGCUUUGAAAAUGGGAAGAAGUAGCGAAACAGGAAGAGAAAAGAGAGUAACGCCUGAAUUUGGUGAGUAUCGAAGAAGAAAAAAAUGCUACCCUCAAAUUCAGGGCGUUACAAACCUAUCCCCCUUAAAAGAAUCUCACACUCGAGAUUCAAGGUUGGCCAGUAAAGAGUUCGGGAUACUUGGCCAUCAGAUCGUCUUCACGCUCCCAAGUUGCUUCUUUCUCAGAGUGGUGACCCCAUCUGACUUUGCACAUUCUGAUAGUUUUCCUCCGGGUGACUCUGUCUGCAGUCUUAAGAAUCUGCGUUGGCUUCUAUAUAUAGGUCAAGUCUUCCUGGACUUCUAGACCUUCCACUGGCAACUGCUCUUCUAGCACACGCAGACACUUCUUCAACUGAGACACAUGAAAGACAUCAUGCACCGCUGACAAAUCUUCUGGCAGACCGAGCUGAUAGGCCACUUCUCCACGCUUUGUGAGGAUCUGAUAUGGACCAACAUAUCGGGGGGCUAGCUUGCCCUUGACUCCGAAUCUUCUGACUCCUCUGAUACGCGACACCUUCAGGUAAACAAAAUCUCCGACUUCGAAACUCAGUUCUCUCCUUCUUGUGUCUACAUAACUUCGCUGCCUUGACUGCGCUAUCUUCAGAUUCUCCCGAACCAUCUUGAUAUUCUCUUCAUCUUCGAGAAAAAUGUCUGGCCCAAACACUUGCUUUUCUCCAGGCUGAUCUCAUUGCAACGGAGUUCUACAACUCCUUCCAUAAAGCGCCUGAAAUGGUGACAUCUUCAAGCUGGCCUGGUAACUGUUGUUAUAGGAGAAUUCUGCAUAAGGUAAUCUCUUGUCCCAUUCGGACUGAUCUUGCAGCGCACAGGCUCUCAACAUAUCUUCAAGGAUUUGAUUAGUUCUUUCAGUCUGGCCGUCUGUAUGAGGAUGAUAUGCUGAACUGAAAUUCAGAUUUGUACCCAAGGCUUCAUGCAACUGCUGCCAGAAAUGAGAGGUGAAUUGCGUUCCUCUGUCUGACACUAUCUUCUUUGGCACACUAUGAAGGUAAACGAUCCAGGACAUGUAUAGCUCCGCCAAUAUUGCACUGUUGUAGCUAGUCUUGACAGGUAUAAAGUGGGCUGACUUGGUCAAGCGGUCCACCACUACCCAAAUGGAAUUGUAGCCGGCUCGAGUGCGAGGCAAUCCUACUAUGAAUUCCAUCCCGAUUUCAUCCCAUUUCUAUUGAGGAAUUCGCAACAGCUGCAACAAUCCAGCUGGCUUUUGAUGCUCUGCCUUGAUCCUCUUACAACUAUCACAUAUGGACACAUGCUCUGUGAUCUCCCUUUUCAUUCCAUACCACCAGAAUUUCUUCUUAAGAUCUUGAUACAUCUUCUCACUUCCAGGGUGUAUGGAAUAAGUUGUCUCAUGAGCUUCCUUGAGGAUCAAUUCCCGAAUGGACUAGACAUUGGGAACACACAAAUGAUCCUUGAACCAUACCACACCUUCUGCAUCUUCUCGAAAAUCUUUGCCUCUUCCUUCUAGAAUCAGUUGCCGGAUUUCAUUGAUCUUCUCAUCAUUCUUCUGUGUCUCUUUGAUUUCCCACUCUAAGGUGGGUUCUAGCUCAACUGUUACUCCUCGCAUGUUAUUCGGGAAUCCAAGACUCAACCUGUCAAAUUCUUUGGCCAACUCAUAAGGCAUCGGAUGAGUGACCAUCAUAUUGACUUGACUUUUACUGCUUAACACAUCUGCCACCACGUUUGCUUUGCCUGGAUGGUAAUGAAUUUCCAAUUCAUAGUCUUUGAUCAAUUCUAACCACCUUCGCUGUCUCAUAUUCAGCUUCGACUGGGUGAAUAUGUACUUCAGACUCUUGUGGUCUGUGUAGACAUCACAUUUCUGCCCGUAUAGAUAGUGCCUCCAUGUAUUCAGUGCAUGAACCACUGUUGCCAACUCUAGGUCAUGGAUGGGAUAAUUCUUCUCAUGAACCUUCAGCUGUCGGGACGAGUAAGCCACAACUCUCCCCUCUUGCAUCAAUACACAUCCCAAGCCAGUGUAGCAAGCAUCGCAAUACACCGAGAAGGGCUUGUGCACAUCAUGCAAGACUAAGACAGGCGUUGUAGUCAACUUCUCUUUCAGCGCUUCAAAGGCUUCUUGGCACUUCUAGGUUCACUUGAACUCAACCUUGUUGGCUAGCAAAGCUGUCAUUAGUUUCGCAAUCUUCGAAAAUCCUUCAAUGAAUCGCCGAUAAUAUUCGGCCAUUCCAAUGAAGCUCUUGAUUCCUCGGGCAUCUGUUGGAGCUUUCCAGUUCAGAAUAUCUGCCACUUUCUUUGGAUCCACAGCCAGUCCAUCUUUGUUUAUUAUGUGACCCAUGAAUAGGACUUCAUCAAUCCAGAACUCGCACUUACUCAACUUUGCAUACAGCUGGUGCUCUUGCAAUCUCUGCAAUACCAUCUUCAAAUGAUCCACAUGCUCCUCCUCACUUUGAGAAUAUAUAAGAAUGUCAUCAAUAAAUACCACCACAAACUUGUUAAGGUAAUCCAUAAAUACACUGUUCAUCAGAUUGAUGAAGAAGGCUGGUGCAUUUGUUAGGCCAAAAGACAUAACAGUGAACUCAUAUAGCCCAUACUUGGUGAUGAAUGUCGUCUUCGGGAUGUCUGAAGGUCGAAUCCUGAGUUGGUGAUAACCUGACCUCAGAUCUAUUUUUGAGAACACGCUGACUCCUCUCAGUUGGUCGAACAGAUCUUCUAUUCUGGGCAAGGGGUACUUAUUCUUGAUUGUGACCUCAUUCAGAGCUCGAUAAUCGAUGCACAUCCUCCUGGUGCCAUCUUUCUUCUCCACGAAUAGGACAGGGGCGGCCCAAGGUGAGGUGCUUGGUCUGAUGUAACCUUUCUCUAACAUCUCAUCUAUUUGCUUCUUGAGUUCAACCAACUCGGGUCCAGAUACCCUAUAAGCUCUUCUAGAAAUGAGGGCGGUUCCAGGAAGAAGCUCUAUGGCAAACUCAACUUUCCGCUUAGGUGGCAUACCUGGUAAAUCUUUCGGGAACACAUCCAGAAACUCUGACACAACCUUGAUAGUCUCGAGUGAAUCUGCCUCCUUGCUAUCAAUAGCCAUCUGAUGACAACCUCCUUUCCUUGGCUCAGGUGAGACUAACUCAGCCACCACUUCUUCUCCUAGUGGGGACACCAACUUAAUUGUCCUCUUAUCACAGCUGAUAAUUGCUUGGUACUUAUCUAGCCAAUUCAUCCCUAGGAUGACAUCUAUACCCUGAGUACCCAUUACUAUGAGAUUAGCGGGAAACUCUAUCCCCCUUAUUUCCACACUUACAUUCAAGCAAACACUAUCAGCUCGAACUUUACAACCGACUGAAUCAAUUUGAAUGGGUUUUGACAUGGUAGUUAUUGGAAGAUUAUGCGCUUCUACCCAUGAUACAGUAAUAAAUGAAUGUGUUGCUCUAGUAUCAAAUAAUACUUCUGCAAUAUGGGAGUCGACUGGAAACAUACCUACUAUCAUGCCUGGUGUUUCCUAAACUACUUCAGCCUCCAAAUGAUUCAGUCUCCCAGGGUUGUAGCGUGUUUGGACGUGGUUGCCUGCUCCUGACUGAGACACAUUCUGCUUCGCUGGGGCACUAGGGCCUGAUUGCUGCUGAGCUGCCUUCUUUGGACAAUGCAUCACCCAAUGGCCUUGCUCUUCACAAUGGAAACAUGCUCUGCCUCCGCCUUGCACUGGGGCUGCUUGACUACUCUAGUUGGUUGUUGGGGCGAGGAGGCGAGGUGCCUGCUGAUUCUGCCUCUAGAACUGACUUCCUCCUGCCUGACUGUUCUAACGAUUCUGCUGCUGAUGCUGGGGGUACUGCCUCUGAAACUGCUGCUGAGGUGGGCGCUGUUUCUGCUUGAACUGAGGCGGGUUGCCCGAGAAACAGGGGCGAUUGCUGCCUCCAGGCUGAGGCCCACCGAUCUUGCGCUUGCGAUCCUCCAUCUCCUUGUGCUUCUUCUCUAUCAUGAUUGCUUUGUCGAUCAGGUGCUGAAAUGUGGGCAAGGUAUGGUUCAUCAACUAAUAGUGCAGGGGAUCGACUAAGCCUAUCAAGAAAUGAUACUGCCUCUUGGCAUCUAUGCUGACAUCUUUAGGAGCAUAGCGGGAUAGCUGUAGAAACCUGUCUCGGUACUCACUGAUGGACACGGGCCCUUGCUUGAGCGCUAGAAAUUCCUCUUUCUUCACUAUCAUCAGACCUGCUAGAACAUGAUACUGACGAAAAUUAUCUCUAAAUUCCUCCUAGGUGAUGGUGUCAGAGUUGGCGUGGGUGGAGAGGUAGGACUCCCACCAAGAUUGAGCUGCUCCCCUCAACAAACGGGGACCAUACAGAACUUUCUCUCUGUCAUCACACUGAGCGGUGUGCAACUCCCGCUCCACGGUACGCAGCCAAUCUUCAGCAUCCAUGGGGUCAGCAGAGUGAGCGAACACUAGGGGAUGACCUCUCAUGAAUUCAACACACUUGUCCCUAGGCAUCUGAGGCUGAGGUGGGGGCUAUUGCUGCUGCUGCAUAGCGGCUAGAGUCUGACCAAUAGCUUGGACUGUCUGAGUCUGCAUCAAGAACAUCUGCUCUAUCGUCAUCGAGGGCGGUGGUGGCAACUGCUGCUGAGGUGCCUCAUCUUGCGGUGCUGGCUGCUCCUGUUGAGCACACCUUCCUCAUCUGCUCCUAUUGUCUGACAUCUGCAGAAUGCAAUCACACAUCAGAACUGAUCUUGCAAAACUUGCAACAUAAGAAAAGAGUAUAGAAUUCUUCCACAACAUUGAACCGAUGAGUAUCUUCACUGACUCCCAACACAGGCAAGCACAACUUUCCAGAUAAAGAGGUAAGUAGAAUAAAAAUGCUUCCCAACUAGAUAACUAAUUUUAUUAAAAUUAAUAGGUAAACCAAAGUGCAGGGGGGUACCCACACUCUGGCGACAGUCAUUACAAAGAUCCAAAUCCAUCAUAGUUCAUCAUGACAAACAUAAAAACACAGGAUAAGCAAACUACCAUGUCUAACUAAAACUAACUGAGAGUAAGACUAAGGCUAAGACUAAGACUUAUAUUUUAAACAUUAAUUACAAGAUCUGAUGCUGACGAUCUAUGGUUCUAAAUUUAUCCUGGUCCUGCAGUCGGGGUUACUAUAGGCAUGGUGUCCACGCUGAGGUGAGUGGUACGGGUGCUGAGUCCCGACGGGAGCGGGGGAGCCAUCCUCUAGGUGAUGGCGCUCCUCACGCUCAGCCCGCAACUGGGCGAUCUCAGCACGAGCCCUACUCAGCUCAUCUAAAGCAUGGUCCAGCUCCUUGUUUAGCACAGUGGCUAGGUUGACUGUGCUGCUCCACCUAGGAUUGUCCUCACCAACAGGUGAGACAACCAUGCCUCUUGUGCUGCUAGAUGGAUGGCGGGGGUAGUACCUCAGGUCAAGACCAUCGGCCACCCCACCGAGCACUGAGCAGUAGUGCGAAAGAGCACGUCGUGCGGCAUCUUGCAUGGCCGCCUCAGCUGAGUUCCGUUUAGAGAUAGAGUGAUGCUCUGAGCAGACCUCCGCACCCUGGAGACUGUUUUCCGGACGGCGCACUAAACAAGUCGCCUCCCUGUGGUCCGGGUAAACCCCACGACUGUGCUGGAAGACAACACAGCGAUACUCGAUAGACCAGGUACGUCAGUCAAGUGCUUGUCGUAGCAAGGUGUUGAGCGCAUCGUGGAAGUGACACCUACGAGCGGCGUCACGAGUAAUGGGUCGAGCAACCCAUCCCUCCGGCUCCUGCUCCUCUAAAAGGUCGGUGCUAUGGCUCGAGCUACUGUCAUCACCUCCGUCAUCGGGGUCUUCUCCAGCAGCUACUCCAGCGGUCGAGACGCCUAGUGGUGGUGCAGGGGGCGCCUCCAACGGGGGCACAGGAGAGCAGCUCCUCACAGACUCUACCUCCUGCUGAGGCGAGGAAGAAGAGCCCUUCUACUCUAGCUCCUGUUGCUGACGCUCCUGCUCCUCGUGCAAGUGGUGGUGCAGCCUCUCCAAAUGGCUAGACUGACCAGUCACCGGAUGACGAAGCGGAAGCUCCGCGAGACGAGAAGGCAAGAAAGGAAUGACUGACUUCCGUGCGGUGUGUCUAAGACGAGCCAACUACAAAAGACACCAUAAGCAUAAGAGUGAGAAUAGAACUAAUAUGACCAGCAAGUAGACCAUAAAAAAUUAGGAAAUAAAAAUAAACAAAAUUUUCAGCAAGGUAUAAUAUAUAUAAUAAAACAUAAAUUUGGUCGAUAUGACCAACUUUUGAAGGGAUACCAAAGUCAAGGUGAUAAUAGAGGUCUAUAGUCCUUAGAACGACCAUUCUACUAUAGGUUAGCGGUCCUACAGUCAGCAUGACUUUGAUACCGCUUAUGUCACACCCAGUUUUAGAAGGAAAACCGAAUGCGAACCAUGUACGUGCCAAGAUCAUCAAUCCACGCACACAGCAGUUACAUAACCGGACAUCAUCACACAGUGCUCGAAUAAUAACAUAAAAGAUAGUAAUAGUCGAUUACAUCAUGAUGUCCGAGAUGUCCACAUAGUCUUUAACAAUUAUCAAAGUGUGAAAACGAAACGUAGAUACACACGGCCUUCACAGGCAGCCGACUGGGGGUUUGCCGCUAACCCACGCCUAGAACUCAUCGUACACUUGGAACUCUUGGAGGUCUUCUUCACGACUUCAUCUUCUCCUGAGUAGUGGUUGCAAUGUGGACAACCUAGGGGGGUUUGGUGUGUAAAGCAAGGGUGAGUACACAUCAACAUACUCAUCAAUUGUCCCGUUUGGCUGUAGUGGACUAGCUUUAUGUGGGUUAAGUCAAGCAGUUGCUUUUAGUUGGUCAGGUUAUUAUUACUAGUAGAGAGUCAGGUUUUAGCAUUAGCCCAAGUUGUUAACCCAAAAGUACCCUUUCCAAACGGAAAGAGUACCAGAAACCAUUACCAUAAGCAUAAUCAAAACCAUCAUCCUCGUCAUCACCUGUAAACCAAACAUCUCUGAUCAAUGUAUCUCUAAUCAAUGGAGCUCCUUUGGCCGCUCAUAACUACGAGCACUGCUGAUAUAUCAGUUUCAUAACACUCUGUAGAGGUUGCGCACUUUACCCACAAACCGUGAUUCCCUUUUGCCUCGAGCCUAUCAAACCCUUAAACACUACCAAUGUGAACAGGCAGGGUUUCACUACGUAGCAUUUACAAAGAUUCCCUGAGGCUGUAGCCGCCAGUUAGGUUUCCUAAAUGUACCGCACUCCUCCCCAAGGGGCAAUCCACCCUCGAUAGAGCAAGCCGCAUACACCGAGCCUCAUUUACGGCACGACGGCGAAGCGAACUACACCCCAGUUCCUCUAAUUAUUCAGCUAAGGGCGUCCCAUACCACCCUCAUGGUUGCACUGUUUUUCCGGGCGGUCAUCCAACGAACCAGUCCUUAUAAAGAGGCACUCGAGUAACUGCUCGAGUCCCCUUAAAUGCCACAGUAUCAUCAUCAUAAUCAAAAGGGAAAACAACGUAUCAUAAAUAAUCUUAUCAUGUUAAUUGAUUAAUGUGAAGCACUAGCAUCAAGCUAAACCAAAAUAACCCAACCCAAAUAGGUAAACAAGGACAAGAUAAACAAAAGAUAUUCAAUCCUUAGAUAUAAAUUGUGUAAAUGCGGGGAGUGAAUUAUAAAAUGAGUAGGACAUAGGUGGGUCAAGGGACACUUUCCUUCACCAACCAACUGUUGCUCAGGGUCUUCACCUGCAACUGCUUCGGACUCUGCCAAUUGACCGUCAUCUAUACGAGUUCAAACAUACAUUCCACAAAUUCAAUAUAAAAGGAACAAUACACCAGACAGUAAAAUACGAUAAAUAAGCAGAUGCUCGGCACAGGGCUUGCACCUACGACUAAGCGAGAAAGAGAAAGCAACGGUCGAGGCUACGGUCGAAGAGCGAUCACGUUAAGCGUUUAUAGAUUAAAGUAUUCGUCUAAACAUAAUCGUAUUAAUUUGACAAUCACGUUAUGCAUAGAAUAAAGUUACACUACGCGUUUAAUUAUUAUGAACAAUUCAAGGUAAAUUUAAAAGGAUUGUCGCGCGGCGAAACGCUCGACGGCACACACGAACUAAACCGAAAAUAAAAUGAGUCGUCGCGCAGCCAAGCGCGCGACACAACACUUAGACUAAACUAAAAUAAAACGAAUCGUCGUGCGAUGAAGUGCGCAACGAAACACUUGAAUAAAUUAUGAAAAUAAUGUUAAGCGUCGCGCGACGAAGCACACGACAGCAUACGUCACUUAAACUGAAGUUAAAACAAAACGUCGAGCGACUAAACGCGUGACGUCACACAUUAAAUAACCUAAACUUAAAUUGAAUCAUCGCGCGACGAAGCACGCGAUAGCACGUUAAUUAAACUAAAUUUAAAAUUACUUAAACUGAAAUUUAAACGUCGCGCGCGCUAGGGUUGCGCGCGCGGUAACGCGCUGCGCGCCAGGGCCACGCCAGCCGCGUCGGGGCCGCGCGCCGGCGAGGCGCCUCGGAGGCCACGCGCCACGGGGCAAGGGCGGGGGUAGGGGGCCACGCCGCCGCGCCAAGGGGAAGGGAUGGGGGCCACGCGCCGCUGCGUCGAGGAGAGGGGCAAGGGGCCACGCCGUCGCUCCGCCGUGCCAAGGGGAGGGGCGGGGGGCCGCGCGCCACACCGAGGGGCCAGGACAGGGCUGCGCGACGAAGGGCAGGGACGGGGACGCCACGCGCACGGGUGUAACACCCUGAAUUUGGGGCUAUACAAUUUCUUUUCUAAUAUCCACCAAAUUCAGGUGUUACCCUCUUCUUCACUUGCUUUUCUUCUCUUUUUUUGUUUUCAAAUAAUGGACAUUAACUUUAUUGUAUACAUAUAUAUGAGUUAUUGGCGUAGUAAAAUAAAAUCGCGGAGAAGCUUUGAUUGAUGCAUUCAUGUCGUUGCAUAGUGUUUAUGAGUGUAAAGGUUUUUCAAACUAUAUCGAAUUAUCUUGAUCUUGUUCCCGGAGGCUUUUGGGAACCUUCGAAACGUUUAUUCGAGUAUUAAAAUAUGAUUUUUUUUAGUUUUUCUAAUAUUAAUUUAAUACCUAAAAUUUAGUAUUUGCGAAAACAACAAAAUCGUGGAAACUUGAUUAUAUAUAUAUAUAUUCCUCUCGCCGAGUUCGUUGUAGAUCUCGUGUCCUUUUUGCGAGAUCAUUAAAAUGUCUUUCCUCGCAAAAGUCGUGCUGCUCGUGUCUACCCUCGUCGUGCUCGCAAUCGCCUCUCUCGCUCGGUCGCAACGCAAUUGACGACGAGUUUGGCAACCACCUCCCGCGUUCUCUUCUAUAUUUCCACCUAGCCAUCACAUAACCUCUCAUCUCCCUCCUCAGAUCCAGAUCGAGCAAGUCUUCGGUUACCAGGUAUGCUCCUUUCGCCUUCUCUCCCUAUGUUCGUCUCUGUCCGCGUAGGUAGGCCGACCCCGACGGUGUCUUCGUCCCUUGCCCCUGCGCUCCUCCUUGCGCGUGGCGUGGCAGCGCGGCCACGAGGCCAUGGAGCGCAGCCUGGCGCGGCACGCAGCCAGCGCGGCCAGCGGCUCGCGGCCAGCGCGGCGCAACCGCCCGGGCUCGCCCCCUGGCCGCGGCUCCCGGCGCCCAUGCUGUGCCCAAGUCUGCCCUGCGCCCCGUCCCCUCCACACCCUGGACGAACCCAGGCGAGGAGCCCCUCUGCCCUGCUCGAUGCCCCUCCCUCUACUUCCCGUGGCCGCGGUCCCCUCGCCCCUCGUCUUCUCCUCUACAUGCGCAACCGACCUCGAGCCCUGCUCGCGGCGGUGCCGCAGCCAUGGCUGAGCGCCCCCGACGAGCCCCCAAGGUGUGGCAAGGAGGCCAUUUGUGGUGCGCAGGCGAGCCCAGCCCUCCCCAGGCGUAGUCUCCAUGGCCGGCGAGAUCUCCUGCUGGUCAGCUUCCUCUCCUUCUGUUCUUUGUUUCAUCUGUGGAAGAAGAAAAGGCAGUUGUUCGUUCGUGCAACCAGGGUAAAGGAAACGGCCCUUGGGGCCCACCUUGCAUGUGAUUUCCACUGCCCCACGUUUUCUCCUUGCGGUGCGUUUGGAAAAAACCAACGGGGCCCCUCGUAUGCACUGCGUGCCAGGACCAAAGCUGUUGCAUGUGCCACGAUUUUACCAUCCCACAGAUUUUUCUGCGGCCAUGAUCUCUUUGACCCUUCGUGUGGCAACCUAUCGACCAAUCAAACCGCGCCACAUUAUUUUUAAUCCACGACUUAUUAAAUACGCGUUAUCUUUUCACGUCCAAUUUAUUUCGUUCCAGUUGUGUUAGUUUCCUAAUAAAGUCGUGUACACGUUAAAAAUAUAAUUUUGUCGUAGCGCAUGUUUCAGUUAAUUAAUUAAUUAAUGGUUUGUCCGAUGGUUAUUAAAAUAUCAAUUUAAUUUAUAGUUUUAAGUUGCACUUUUAAAAAUAUACGUAAACGUCAUUAAUACCAACACAAAUGUUUUGAUUCAAUACUUGCUUAGUAUAAUCGGGACGUGUGUUUAUUAGUUCUCAUAUGUCAGGUUGUUUAUAAUCCGUAAAAUGUUAUUUAUUCUAUUAUGCGUCGUAAACCUGUUACGUCUCGUUUUAGUCGUGUCAACUUUGUGAUAACGUCGAUUUUGUAUUACUAAUGCUAUCCACUCAUGUCACACGUUUAAUUGAUUAAUUAAUUAUUUAUCCUUUCGGUAUUCUAUAGUAGUUAUUAAAAACGACAUUCUAAUUAAAACUAGUUUAUAGUUUUUAACUCACGCUUUUAUAAAUAUAAAUGUUAACUAGAUUAAUACCAACUUAAACACUUUUCAUUUAAUACUGGUUUACUAUAAACAUGUUAUUUGUUAGCGAUUAUCACGCGUCGUCGCACUAUCUGUACGCUAUUCGCGCGUGAUGUUCUUGUGGCGCGCGUGCUGUUCCCGCAAGUCGUUGCACGUCGUUCGUGUGCCGUUUGCGCGUUAUCGUCGUUCCUUCGCGCGUUCGUGUCGCGCGGCGUCUGCGUGUGAUAAUAAAUUGAUUUCGCUUAUAGACACUCAUAAUAACAAUGUUAAUUCAUCAGGUCGCAUAUUUUAGAUAGUUAACUUAAGAUUUGCUCGACUAAUAAUUAUUAGAUUAAUAUUGUAAUUAGAUUAAAUGUGUAGUGUAGAACUUGCGCUUUUAUAAUAAACAUUAACAUGGCUAAUAUUAACUUAACUACUUAUUUAAUAAUUGUUUAGUAUAAACGCGUCACCUAUUUAGUCUUUCUUGCUUGUCGCGCGAGUUGUUCCGCACGUGGUGUCGUGUUUUUCGCGUUGGUUGCGCGCACUGUUUUCGUGCAUCGUCAGCGUGCUAUGUUGCGUGUGUCUGCGUGUCAUUCGUACGCUGUCAUGCUGUUUCGGGCAUCGUAAAUUCGCCUCGCUUAGAAUAUCUCGUUUUAAUUAAAUUACUUAUUUAACUGACAUUUGUUAGUGUAGCAGAUUAAUCGAACUAAAUAUUAGAUAUAAUUUAUAUUUGAUAAUGUCAAAUUAAAUGUCCUGACUAUUACUUGCGUAGCGUAAACGUUACAACUUCUCGACCGUAGCUUCGACCGUCGCGUUUCUAAUCCCCGCGUAACCGUAGAAGCGCUCUCUAUUUUUAUAUUGCUCGUUUUGAUAAUAUUUUAUCUUGUAUGGUGUAAUGUUUUUAUGCAAGUAUAUGUUUGCUUGUGUCGGUUUGUAUUCGUUGCACGACACGAAUAGAUUGCGAUCUGUUCCCGAGCUUCGAGGAAUCGACGAUCAAGAUUUGGUGAACCACUGGUCCUGAGAUCAAGCUCUUCGAGUUCUACGAGAUUGUAGACCUUGAGCAUCUGUUUGAUGAAGGUAAAUGUCCUCUGACCCAUUAUGUCCUAUUUACUUUAUAAUUCACUGCCCCGCCUUACUUAAUUGAAACCUGAGGAUUGACUAGCUUCAUAUUUACCUUGUCCUUGAUUGCCUUUUUGGGUUACUAUGGUUAGCUUCAUGCUAUUGCUUUACUUUAAUCAAUGAAUAUGAUGUGAAUAUUUACGAUGAUGUUAUCUUGACUAUCAUGAUGAUCUUGUGAUACUUUAGUGGAAUCAGGCCAUUUUCCUGAGUACCUCUCCGUAAGGACCUAUUCGGGGUGUGACAACCCAAGAAAACAGUGCAACCAUGAUAGUGGUAUGGGACGCCCUUGGCCAAGUAAUUAGGGGAGUCUUAUGUUGGGUGCUGGUUUUGGUCAUUGGGAACGGAGACAUCUGUUAUGGCUCCUAUAUUCUCGCUCAGGGAUCUGGGUACGGGCAUCGUCCCAUGGCUUUUUCCUGAGGGCAGAGAUAUAGGUUUUGGGACGUCAGAUGGACUUUAUGCAAUGGUCAUUUCCAACAUUCACAUAGUGAGGACCCUAGGGAAAAGCCACGUAGUGAGACCCUACCAGUUCACCUUGGAAGUGAUCAAUGUGGAGUCGUGAAAGGGAAUCACGACUCAUGGGUAAAGUGUGCAACCUCUACAGAGUGUUAUGAAACUGAUAUAUCAGCCGUGCUCAUGGUUAAGAGCGACCUUGGGAUCCUCUUUGAUUAGAGAUACAAAUGAUCUGAGAUUCAAUGGAUCUAUUUAUGGUUUUGGUUCAAUGAUGAUAAUGAUGUUCCUCGAUGAGGAAAUGAUUCACGGGUUGGUUAUUGCUAAAACUCGGCUUCCACUAAUAAUAAGUACCUGACCAACUAAAAGCAACUUCUUGAGCUUAACCCCACAUAAAGCUUGUCCACCUCAGCCAAACGGGACAUUUGCUGAGUACGUUGAUGUGUACUCACCCUUGCUUUCAUAAAACACCAGGUUGCCUUUGGUGCAAUCUAUGCUCAGGUAAAGAAGAAGGCGUCAAGGCAGAUCUCCAGGAGUUCCAGGACUUCGUCGAGUUCGAGGAUUAGGCUAGCGACCUCCCCCAGUCAACUGCCUGUGUUGGGUUGUUUACGUUGGCUACGUUUCGAUUCUGUGUACUUUGAUUCAUAUUAUGUAAAUGACUCUAGUUUGUAGUAUUAUUACUUACUCUUUAUUGUUAUUCGAAGCAUUGUGCUAUGAUGAGUCAUUUAUGUAAUCGUUGUGUACGUGAAUUUCUGAUCCUGGCAAGUAUAUGGUUCGCUUUGGUUUACCUUCCAAAACCGGGGGUAACAUAAGUGGUAUCAAAGCCCUUGCUGACUGUAGGGCCGCUAUCCUAGAGUAGCAUUGGUCGUUUUAAGGACUUAUUGAUUAUUACUUCACCUCAUCCUUGAUGCUGUUUCAAAAU